UUCCGUAGUGAACCUGCGGAAGGAUCAUUACAGAGUUCAUGCCCGAAAGGGUAGACCUCCCACCCUUGUGUAUUAUUACUUUGUUGCUUUGGCGAGCUGCCUUCGGGCCUUGUAUGCUCGCCAGAGAAUACCAAAACUCUUUUUAUUAAUGUCGUCUGAGUACUAUAUAAUAGUUAAAACUUUCAACAACGGAUCUCUUGGUUCUGGCAUCGAUGAAGAACGCAGCGAAAUGCGAUAAGUAAUGUGAAUUGCAGAAUUCAGUGAAUCAUCGAAUCUUUGAACGCACAUUGCGCCCCUUGGUAUUCCGGGGGGCAUGCCUGUUCGAGCGUCAUUUCAACCCUCAAGCUUAGCUUGGUAUUGAGUCUAUGUCAGUAAUGGCAGGCUCUAAAAUCAGUGGCGGCGCCGCUGGGUCCUGAACGUAGUAAUAUCUCUCGUUACAGGUUCUCGGUGUGCUUCUGCCAAAACCCAAAUUUUUCUAUGGUUGACCUCGGAUCAGGUAGGGAUACCCGCUGAACUUAAGCAUAUCAAUAAGCGGAGGAA
Molecule: ribosomal RNA, 540 nt
Filed under: Botryotinia sp. FQ-4-1
Lineage: Eukaryota; Fungi; Ascomycota; Leotiomycetes; Helotiales; Sclerotiniaceae
Description: eukaryotic LSU rRNA
Rfam family: 5.8S ribosomal RNA (bases 178-331)
Source: RNAcentral